This is a long non-coding RNA of Athene cunicularia (burrowing owl), 2864 nucleotides long. RefSeq lists it as uncharacterized. Lineage: Eukaryota; Metazoa; Chordata; Aves; Strigiformes; Strigidae. The record is from RefSeq and is a predicted model, not a curated record. The transcript has 5 exons.
GCUUUGUGUUCUGCAGGUGACACAGGGCUGCCUGGCUCCCCAGAGCAAAUCCUGGAGCAGGGUUUUCCCGGAGCAUACAAAUCCAAGGGGAGGAGGAGUGGGAGUGGUGCCGGUUGUGAAACAUCUUCAUCAGCUGCUGGUGAGGAAGGCUGACACCGUGGGGCCAUGUGGAAGGAGGGACGUCGUCAAGGUGCAGGUCUCAGCACCCUGCUCCUGCUGUCAUCGUGCCUACUGAGGCCAACCUCGUGCCCCACAGCCCUCUUUUGGCAGCAUGGUGCACUCUGCACCCUUCUUCCUUCCCGACACUCUUCUCUGAUGCCAUCUUUCAUCUCCAGAAUGCUCCUGUUGUCCUCUGUGCUAGCUAGGAUACCUACCUGGUCCCCUGAGGACACCUGUAGUUUCUUCAAAUCCCCUCUGGACUUCUUCAUCAUGUCCUCGAGCAUUCUUUUGGCUGUCCUCUGCUACUGUCACGAAGUCUCCCGAGGUCUUGGACGAUCCCUGCAGCACACCUUUAGCCCCGUAAGUCUCCUUUGGACUUGUUUUGUUGCAAUAGCACCUCUCCUCCUAAGAUCUCUGUUCCCCAAAGAGAGCAUUCUUCUUCUUCUUUAUGCCACCUAGGAUGCCUCCUGAGACCUUCUUUGUGUACCACAGCCCUGUUUUAGCUCCGUAGCAGACUUUGAUUCUCUCUCAUUCCCUCAGAAACUCAGGUGUGUUUGUACCUCGGAGCACUCUUAAUCAUCCUUCCUGCCAUCUAGGGUGUCUCCGCUUGGUCCCAGCCUCCCGAUGGCAUCUGUACUGUUCAGAUCCCGUCCGGACUUCCUUCUUAUGUCCUUGAGCUGCCUUUGGUGCCUUUGGCCCAAUCAGGACCUCUCUGAUGGUGUCGUGAUGCCUAUCGAUGCCUUUGAGGUUGCCCUUAGCAGACUUGUAGCCUCGUACCAGACCUGGCAGCCAUCUCGUUCACUCAGAGGACUUCCCGAGUCCAGAUGUGUGACCCAGCCCAGUCAUUCUGUCCUCUCUUCCCUCUAGCUGCCUCUGUUCGUUCCCUGGCUCUCUGAUGACAUGCGUACGUGGUUCAGAUACCCUCAGGAUUUAAUCAUCAUGUCCCCAGUCCUUUUUCUGUCUCUCUGGCUCCCUCAGGACAGUUCUUCUCCCAGUCAGUGCCUCCCAAGACCUUCCUUGUGGUCUGGUUCUGUCCUGUAGCACUUUAGGUGGGGCUGUCUUUGAGCCGCAAAUGAACUCGUUUGUUCCUCUCUGCUGGCUGGGAUUCCCGUGUUUAGUUCCCAGCCACCUCAGACCGUCUGUACUCUGCUCAGACGAUCACCCGAUUUCCUCCUUGUUGUUCCUCAGCCUUUUAUCCCCGCCGCCGUGAUCGCUCUCCUCACGGUCACAGUGCUUGCUGAGACCUCCCUCGAUCUCCACAGCACCUUGUAGCACUCGAUCUCCUUUUCUCUCUCUCCUGUUCUGUCAGAGCCUCCCUCAUUUCUUUGCUACAUGCCAUCGAGGGUGUCUCCGUUUAGUUGUUCUCUCAGUCGUUUGUAGUUUGCCCAGAUGCCCUCCAGAGACUCCAGGGCCCUCACUGUGUCUGAAGGCUGCUUUUGUUACUCUGCCCCCUCCUAGUUCCUCUACGCUCUGUAACAAUGUCUUCCGAGUCCCUUUGUGUACUUCACCGCACUCUUGUGGCACUUCAGCUCCCUUUGGAUUUCAUUUUUUGGCGCUCUUUAGAGCACUCUUCUCUUACUCUCUGGCGUGUCAGUCUGCACAUGUACCUGGGUUGGAACCGCUCUGCCUGGGGGCACAGCGGUGUCAGUCAGGGGAAGAACAGCACUAAGAGUCUGUGGUUAACGUUGCUUUGCCUGGACUGUUUAGGUACAGACCGUACAGCCCCCUCAGCAGCAGGCAAGGAUGUCAGAGGGGUGACCGGAGCUGUCUGGGACAGGCUGCGGGAGUGGUAGUUGAACAGAUGGAAUCUCAAAGGUGUUAAGGCUUUUGUAUGUAGGGCUUAAUGCUGGUUUUUAUGUUGUUUUUUUUUUUAAUGGCAGGCUGUAAUGAGACCCUAGAUGGUGUUCCUAAGUGCAGUCAAGAGCUCUGGAAUUGUUGAGCUGUCACUCGGCAUCCAGGUGACUUGUUUGAAAAUUUUUUUCAGAUCCAGAGGGACAAUAUAUGCACCAAAGAGUGACAGAGGCAGCGAGCAGAGCACUGUAAGAAGGUGCAUAGCAAUGAGCAAAGCAGGAUAUUGGCACUGGCGGUGACUUGGGCAAGGUGAGACAAGUGGGCCGAAGCAGCAGUUAUUUUUCAGGCGUCUCACUGUUGGUGAAGCUGGAAGCAUCUCCUGUUGUCUUACAGGUGGUACCCAGGCCUCGAUGUGGCGACCUGUGCCGUGCCGGCUGCCUUUGGAAUCGGCUGAGUAUUUGAGAUGAUGAAGAGGAACCAGGCAGCUGCAGGAAUAUAUCCUGGUUAGCUGAUGUGGGUUUUGUUGAGGAUGGAUUCAGAGCCCUGGCCCUCUGAAAGCUGAGUUGAGGGAACAGAGACCACUGCCCUACAGUGUGUAACCCUGACUUCAGUUAGAAAGAGACUUUACCAAAUGGAAACCUUUCUCGAGGAAUGUUGAUUUUUAUGAACUUCCCAUCGGAGCAGAUCUUCAGAGCUGAUGGAUUUGGCAGUAGUACUCGGGCGGUGCAGCUGGCCAGAUGUCCCUGCUAAUUCUGGAAGACACCAAACCCCUCGUCAGGUUGUAAGUGUGUAUUUUGGAGACAGACAGCCUAAUGGCAUCAGCUCAGAGCUGUACGAGUUCAGGGAAUGCAAAAGGAGAACCAAAUACUUACACACCUAAUAAAACCACUGCUACAAGCAUAUGCCCACCUGUA